This 641-nucleotide ribosomal RNA is filed under the name Streptomyces sp. I12A-02570. RNAcentral describes it as "bacterial SSU rRNA". It matches the Rfam family "Bacterial small subunit ribosomal RNA", at positions 100 to 755 of the family's 1533-position model. The record is from RNAcentral. Lineage: Bacteria; Bacillati; Actinomycetota; Actinomycetes; Kitasatosporales; Streptomycetaceae.
GAACGGGUGAGUAACACGUGGGCAAUCUGCCCUUCACUCUGGGACAAGCCCUGGAAACGGGGUCUAAUACCGGAUAAUACUUUCCUCCGCAUGGGGGAGGGUUGAAAGCUCCGGCGGUGAAGGAUGAGCCCGCGGCCUAUCAGCUUGUUGGUGGGGUGAUGGCCUACCAAGGCGACGACGGGUAGCCGGCCUGAGAGGGCGACCGGCCACACUGGGACUGAGACACGGCCCAGACUCCUACGGGAGGCAGCAGUGGGGAAUAUUGCACAAUGGGCGAAAGCCUGAUGCAGCGACGCCGCGUGGGGGAUGACGGCCUUCGGGUUGUAAACCUCUUUCAGCAGGGAAGAAGCGCAAGUGACGGUACCUGCAGAAGAAGCGCCGGCUAACUACGUGCCAGCAGCCGCGGUAAUACGUAGGGCGCAAGCGUUGUCCGGAAUUAUUGGGCGUAAAGAGCUCGUAGGCGGCUUGUCGCGUCGGAUGUGAAAGCCCGGGGCUUAACCCCGGGUCUGCAUUCGAUACGGGCAGGCUAGAGUGUGGUAGGGGAGAUCGGAAUUCCUGGUGUAGCGGUGAAAUGCGCAGAUAUCAGGAGGAACACCGGUGGCGAAGGCGGAUCUCUGGGCCAUUACUGACGCUGAGGAGCG